This 24-nucleotide non-coding RNA is filed under the name Cricetulus griseus (Chinese hamster). Lineage: Eukaryota; Metazoa; Chordata; Mammalia; Rodentia; Cricetidae. The record is from RNAcentral.
AAGGACGCCUUCGAUAGCACUAGC